Molecule: long non-coding RNA, 1657 nt
Organism: Bolinopsis microptera
Lineage: Eukaryota; Metazoa; Ctenophora; Tentaculata; Lobata; Bolinopsidae
Exons: 4
Source: RefSeq, a predicted model, not a curated record
UAGACGCUAGCGUGUCUCCUCAUUUGUCACUCACUCCCACAAUUAGGGUGGAGCUGCUGAAUUUGUGGCUAAUCUUUACACAGACGUAGUGGUAACCCGGUUUAGAGCAUGCGACGUGGGGUAAUAAUAACCUGAGUUAACGUUCAAGCCUUUGAUCCACAGGAAUUAUAAAAAGUCAUAGACUUCAUGCAUGAUUGAUCAUAUUCAUAUGUCAUGCUCUAUCAGCAUAUAACUUCUGUAAACUUAGUCCUCUUAUGGUUUAUACCUCUGUUGUCAACUAAUCGCACCAGUCAGUGCCUAAGUGAACUGCAUCACACGAGGGAUAAAUAUUAUUCAAAUUUAUUCCCUAUCGGCUAUUGUUCGUUGUGCUUGGUUAUUUUGUAUUCAGGUUGCUAGUCUGCAUGGUCAUGGUGCAUGCUGUUUGCCAGAACAAACAAUGCUUUGAUUUAAAACAGAUAAUUAUCAUUAAGUGCCGCGUUACCUAAUUUGAAAUCGAUUUCGUGCACUCGAACAGCGGUGCAGGCGUCUGAAUAAAAAUGGUAAUCACAAUUUUGUCACAAUGCCCUUAACGCAAAUAAAGAAAUCUAAAAUGAAAGAGAAGCAAUUCAUUAUUGAAAGCGUUAAAAUUUAGGGCCACUUUUUGACCUCUAAUUGUGCUGCAGCCAUUGUCAUCGUUGUAAUUUACCCCUUUGACUAUUUUAAGCGUAUUAAUUAUCAGGAGACCUGGACUGAUUUUAAGGUCUGUGGAUUUGAAUAUUUAAAAUGGCUGGUUCUGGUGAUUGCAGUACAAAUACAGAAUCUCAAGCUGUUCUUCAGAACAAGAUUUCUCGUUUAAACUUUUUAUGACUGCCCCAUUUUCAUGAUAAUUUCAGGGAAUUCGGAUAUUCAAAAUGCCAAGUUAAUGGUGCAGUGAUUGCAGUACAUCUACAGAUUGCUGAUUGAGAUAGACAAAUCCGAGUUAAUAAUGUCCACCAUUUCCGGAUUCAACCUAUUCGUCAGAUUUUUGUUCUUUGCCAUUCUUAUUCUCACAGUGUGGAGCAAAGCAGUAAACGAGGAAUCAGCGAUAGUGUUCUCGAGUAACGAAGAUGAAGGAAUGCUGGGCCCUAUCAUGAUGGCGGGAGCUGACGCAGACCUAGCUUAGUUCCUCAACACUAACAGUUUUACUCCGGAGUCCAGACCUUACAGCUCUUCUGGACCAAGGCUGUUGAGAUAUUUUACCGCUAUAAGAGAUUGUAUCUCCACAGAAAGCACAUCCAAUUUGAUACGGAUGAAGUUGUUCUAUAGCUUGCCUGAUUCUGCAAUAAGUUAACCUGUCCUGACCAAAAUUGACCGGGGAUCACUUUCGAGACACCCUGACAAACGCUACUCACGCUAUUGUGCUUUUUACGGAAAAAAUAAGACAGUAGCGAUCAUUUUGAGUUUGCCAUUCUCUUUCAAAAGUAUUCCAAGUUAUUUUUAUAAUGGUAAUGGUAUUUAUUGAUUCUGAAUACAUUGCAAAAUAUUUUGUAUUUCAUCUCGAUUUAUGAAGUUUGAAAAAAGUUUCUGCAAUGCGUGAAAUUUGGGGAGUGUGCUUUCUGUGGAGAUAUAAACUGCGCAUUCUGAUAUUAUAUUCUUUGACCAUCAAUGCUGUUACUAAUUUAAAUUUAAUUAUCAUUUA